UCGAAAGACCUUGCGCUUAAGGAGCGGCCGAUGYCUGAUUAGCUAGUUGGUGGGGUAAAGGCCUACCAAGGCAACGAUCAGUAGUUGGUCUGAGAGGACGACCAACCACACUGGGACUGAGACACGGCCCAGACUCCUACGGGAGGCAGCAGUGGGGAAUUUUGGACAAUGGGCGCAAGCCUGAUCCAGCCAUGCCGCGUGAGUGAAGAAGGCCUUCGGGUUGUAAAGCUCUUUCAGUUGGGAAGAAACGAUUGCAACUAAUAAUUGUAAUUAAUGACGGUACCGACAGAAGAAGCACCGGCUAACUACGUGCCAGCAGCCGCGGUAAUACGUAGGGUGCGAGCGUUAAUCGGAAUUACUGGGCGUAAAGGGUGCGCAGGCGGUUUUGUAAGUCAGAUGUGAAAUCCCCGGGCUUAACCUGGGAAUG
RNAcentral lists this ribosomal RNA (427 nucleotides) under uncultured Nitrosococcus sp. RNAcentral describes it as "bacterial SSU rRNA". It matches the Rfam family "Bacterial small subunit ribosomal RNA", at positions 200 to 622 of the family's 1533-position model. The record is from RNAcentral. Lineage: Bacteria; Pseudomonadati; Pseudomonadota; Gammaproteobacteria; Chromatiales; Chromatiaceae.